Molecule: long non-coding RNA, 1115 nt
Filed under: Heterocephalus glaber (naked mole-rat)
Lineage: Eukaryota; Metazoa; Chordata; Mammalia; Rodentia; Bathyergidae
Description: lncRNA (ENSHGLG00100046627.1)
Source: RNAcentral
AAAAAUCUUUCUAUUUGUAGUUCAGGGGAUUGAACCCAGGACCACACACUUGCUAUAACACAAACUGUGAUGAAACUGAAGUGGAAAUACAUGCAAGGACUGCAGACAACAUAAGAAUUGAAAAUUCAAAUGAACAGCACAAAUAGUUGGAGUACAAUUGGAAGUGUAGAAGGAACAAUUCAUUAUAGGAAAGCCAAACAAACCAUCCAGAGGGAGAGGUCACAGAAACAACAAUAAUGAUUGCGUAUGCAUGUGCUUUUGUGGACAGAAUGUCCAGGUUGCAGAAACCAGAAGACUCUGAGUAAGUUGUGUUUAUGUAAUAAUUUCUAAAAAUGGUACAAAAUGGGAGCAUUGAAAGAUGUUGUUUUCUAGGCUGGCAAAUAGAGUCAAGUCUUAGUUCAUAAAGUUAUAGAUAGGUCAAGGCAACUAGUUAUCUAUGGACCUUCUGUACAUAAUCACAUAUUAUGUGGGCCUCAUUUAUUUCAAAUUUAUAUAGGUGCUUUGGUUGUGCACAAAAGAAGCAUGAAUAAAUCAUCUGAGUUUAAGUUAUUCAGUUAUUACAAUCAAUUUCCACAUGGAGAAACUUUUUUAUUUCCUUUUUAACUUUCAUUACACAUAAUUAGCAACCAUAACAUUCAUUGUAGGGAAUUGGUACAUGCACAUUACACAUUUCAAUUCUUGUUUCCUCUUUCCCUCCACUCCCUCUUUCAGGUAAAAUAAAAAUUUUAAUGUAAAAAUGUUUGCCAUUAUUUGGUAGUUUAAUUUUGAUUUAUUUUUACUAUAUCUCAGGCUUAAAAAAAGGAAUUGCCCUUAUUUGAGUCAUUUUGGACCAAGAAAAAUAGGAAAAAACAAUUGUAAAACCAAGCCAGGACUCAAAAUUUCUUACUGAGAUGGAAUAAAUUGUUUCCAUGUACACUUCUUUGGCUAAAGCUUAAUCACAUAGGAAAAGAAGCAAGCCAGAACAGGUAUAUAAUUCUGCUUCAGUGAAUGGUAGAGGAUACUUGAAGACUCCUUGAAGAGUACCUGGUGUUUUUCUAAAGCCUUUAGUUAAAAGUAAUUCUCAUGGCAGAGCGGCAUAUUUUGGGGUUGUAUAUUCUGUCUCCUUUCAUGAGGAA